CAUGGUGAACGGGUGAGUAACACAUAAGAAUCAGCUUUUAGAUAAGGCAUAAAAGAGUAAUAUCUUGGUAAUUCCUUAUAUGCGCAGCAGUGCUUAAAAAGGGGACUCCCGUCUAAAAACGAGCUUAUGCCUGAUUAGCUAGUUGGCGAGUUAAAAGCUCACCAAGGCGAAGAUCAGUAGCUGGCCUGAGAGGGCGGCCAGCCACAUUGGGACUGAGACACGGCCCAAACUCCUACGGGAGGCAGCAGUGGGGAAUCUUCUGCAAUGGGCGCAAGCCUGACAGAGCGGCGUCAUGUGAAGGAAGAAGGCCUGAAAUAGGUUGUAAACUUCUUUUACUGAGUAAUGAAUACUGACAACGCAGUAAAAAAGUAUCGGCUAACUCCGUGCCAGCAGCCGCGGUAAUACGGGGGAUGCAAGCGU
This 420-nucleotide ribosomal RNA is filed under the name uncultured bacterium. RNAcentral's name for it is "bacterial SSU rRNA". It matches the Rfam family "Bacterial small subunit ribosomal RNA", at positions 94 to 541 of the family's 1533-position model. The record is from RNAcentral.